AGAUAAUGAACUUGAUUAAGUUUAUAUUUUGAAAAUAUAAUAUAGAAAUAUUAUUUUCUAUUAUCUU
Molecule: transfer RNA, 67 nt
Filed under: Pambolus sp. QL-2013
Lineage: Eukaryota; Metazoa; Arthropoda; Insecta; Hymenoptera; Braconidae
Description: tRNA-Ser
Source: RNAcentral